AGUGGAUCCUGAGUACGACGGAGCACGUGAAAUUCCGUCGGAAUCUGGGAGGACCAUCUCCUAAGGCUAAAUACUCUCUAGUGACCGAUAGUGAACCAGUACCGUGAGGGAAAGGUGAAAAGCACCCCGGAAGGGGAGUGAAAUAGAACCUGAAACCGUGUGCUUACAAGUAGUCAGAGCCCGUUAAUGGGUGAUGGCGUGCCUUUUGUAGAAUGAACCGGCGAGUUACGAUUUGAUGCAAGGUUAAGCAGUAAAUGUGGAGCCGUAGCGAAAGCGAGUCUGAAUAGGGCGUUUAGUAUUUGGUCGUAGACCCGAAACCAGGUGAUCUACCCUUGGUCAGGUUGAAGUUCAGGUAACACUGAAUGGAGGACCGAACCGACUUACGUUGAAAAGUGAGCGGAUGAACUGAGGGUAGCGGAGAAAUUCCAAUCGAACCUGGAGAUAGCUGGUUCUCUCCGAAAUAGCUUUAGGGCUAGCCUCAAGUGAUGAUUAUUGGAGGUAGAGCACUGUUUGGACGAGGGGCCCCUCUCGGGUUACCGAAUUCAGACAAACUCCGAAUGCCAAUUAAUUUAACUUGGGAGUCAGAACAUGGGUGAUAAGGUCCGUGUUCGAAAGGGAAACAGCCCAGACCACCAGCUAAGGUCCCAAAAUAUAUGUUAAGUGGAAAAGGAUGUGGCGUUGCCCAGACAACUAGGAUGUUGGCUUAGAAGCAGCCAUCAUUUAAAGAGUGCGUAAUAGCUCACUAGUCGAGUGACACUGCGCCGAAAAUGUACCGGGGCUAAACAUAUUACCGAAGCUGUGGAUUGUCCUUUGGACAAUGGUAGGAGAGCGUUCU
RNAcentral lists this ribosomal RNA (835 nucleotides) under Staphylococcus aureus. RNAcentral's name for it is "partial 23S ribosomal RNA". It matches the Rfam family "Bacterial large subunit ribosomal RNA", at positions 400 to 1242 of the family's 2925-position model. The record is from RNAcentral. Lineage: Bacteria; Bacillati; Bacillota; Bacilli; Caryophanales; Staphylococcaceae.